This is a long non-coding RNA of Numida meleagris (helmeted guineafowl), 615 nucleotides long. RefSeq lists it as uncharacterized. The record is from RefSeq and is a predicted model, not a curated record. NCBI's taxonomy places the organism in Eukaryota, Metazoa, Chordata, Aves, Galliformes, Numididae. The transcript is spliced from 4 exons.
UGUCCCCUCCCCACCUCUUGCCCACGGCAGCCUACUGGCUUUGGGUGAUUGGAGAGAGUCUUGACACUGUGCCAGCGCUGCUCAGUAACAGAAAAUCAGUGCGAUAUCAAAGCUGUUCUAGCUACAAAUGCUGAGCACAGCACUGUAUGGGCUGCUGUGGGGAAAGUGAACUCCAUCCUAGCCAGGCCUGAAAGCGCUUUUCCCUUGGGUGCUUGGAGGAAGUGCAUUCCCCAAGGUCUGCGAGGUCACAUGCAGAGCCUGCGGACAGUUUUAGGGGUUACUCCUUGAUGACUGUAUGACGGUACCCUUGGCCGGAUAAGAGAUUCCAACAGGUUUGAUAGCCCCUAGAUAAUAUGAUCUGUAUCUCCCUGGCUUUAAGAACUUUUAGCUUCAAGAGUUACAACGUUUAAAUGCUACAAAUUUGUCUAGGAAAUAGAAGCUAUUCCACAAUGCCUGGAAAAAUCCUAUCGCUCCCCUCCAAAUUUCGGACACAAAACCAACUCAUCCAUCAGCAUGAAAUGCUCUGUGGGAGUCUCCUUCUGUCUAGUAUGUAGGUCAACAGGACAAAAGCAACACAGGGAUACAAGGAACUCUUCUAUUAGGCAAUGAAGCAAA